CCUACGGGUGGCAGCAGUGGGGAAUAUUGCACAAUGGGGGAAACCCUGAUGCAGCGACGCCGCGUGAGUGAAGAAGUAUUUCGGUAUGUAAAGCUCUAUCAGCAGGGAAGAAAUAAAGUCAUUCGGACUUUGGACGGUACCUGACUAAGAAGCCCCGGCUAACUACGUGCCAGCAGCCGCGGUAAUACGGAGGGGGCCAGGUGUAUCCGGAUUUACUGGGUGGAAAGGGGGCGUAGACGGCAGGGCAAGUCUGGAGUGAAAUGCCAUGGCGUAACCAUGGAACUGCUUUGGAAACUGUGCAGCUGGAGUGCAGGAGAGGUCAGCGGAAUUCCGAGUGUAGCGGUGAAAUGCGUAGAUAUUAGGAGGAACACCAGUGGCGAAGGCGGCUGACUGGCCUGUAACUGACGUUGAGGCUCGAAAGCGUGGGGAGCAAACAGGAUUAGAUACCCGUGUAGUC
This 457-nucleotide ribosomal RNA is filed under the name uncultured bacterium. RNAcentral's name for it is "partial 16S ribosomal RNA". It matches the Rfam family "Bacterial small subunit ribosomal RNA", at positions 338 to 795 of the family's 1533-position model. The record is from RNAcentral.